UUUCUCACUCGCUAUGAAUACCUAUGUUAUGCAUUUGAAUUGGUUGCUUUAAACACUUGGUUUCUUACAUUUUCUCUACACUUCUACACUUCUUCAGAUCAAACUUAGAGCAUUGCUCACACAUCUGCAACAACUCCGGUUGGCUAUUGGGGGGUUGCUAGUCGUCGUGAUUGUUACAAACUGCUGAUAUGUUGUCGCCUGACAUAAUUGCCGGCUAACCUUGUAUAGGAAGUAUUGUCAUAGAUAGAUAGAGAGAUAUGAGGGGAGGAUUACAAUCUCUUUGAUUGAGGAUAGUUUCCUGUUUUAGGAUGUUUCCUUUGGUGUAAUAGGUUUCCUUUAGCCUCUCACAUUCCUCCCCUAUAUGUAUGUAGCGGUAUUGUCUCUCAUCAAUAAAAAAUAUUCUUCCCAAAUCUUCUCUCAUGGUAUUAGACGCCUAGGCUAUGUUCCUGACAAUAUGUGAACUACCAAAUAUAUUCUAACACAUGACAGUCUACGAAACACAAUAUGUAAACUUCCAAAUAUACUCUAACAAUUAUGACAUAGAAUCUUCUGAGCAACAUGUGAACACAAAUAUUAGUCUUUCUACUAAAUCUCAUGUAAUAGCUGAGGAAACAGUAACAUGUUCUUUCCAUGUUUCCUUUAUUUUCUAUUUUUGCUUUUUUUGGGGCAUAUGUGCUUCUGUCUUUGUUCGGUACUUCUGGGCUGGUUUUGUAGUUGACGCUCUCUUAUUAAUAACGUGGAAUGCUCUACCACUUCUUCAAGAUAAUUUUUUAUUUGUCUUUACGCUUUAUUGUUUUACUGCCUGUAUCUGAAUAUACCAUACUAUCUAUUGUUAAUCUAAGUUCCAGGAAAUCAGAUGCAUAUCUAAAUAAGUCAUGCAUCUUGUUAGUCUGCUGUAGCCCAAUU
This 906-nucleotide unclassified non-coding RNA is filed under the name Zea mays. RNAcentral describes it as "misc RNA Zm00001eb225070". The record is from RNAcentral. Lineage: Eukaryota; Viridiplantae; Streptophyta; Magnoliopsida; Poales; Poaceae.